RNAcentral lists this transfer RNA (69 nucleotides) under Urocitellus parryii (Arctic ground squirrel). RNAcentral describes it as "Spermophilus parryii (Arctic ground squirrel) tRNA". It matches the Rfam family "tRNA". From Rfam's summary of the family: Transfer RNA (tRNA) molecules are approximately 80 nucleotides in length. Their secondary structure includes four short double-helical elements and three loops (D, anti-codon, and T loops). RNAcentral also lists the same sequence under 1 other name. Lineage: Eukaryota; Metazoa; Chordata; Mammalia; Rodentia; Sciuridae. The record is from Rfam by way of RNAcentral.
GGGAAUGUGGCUCUGUGGCAGAGUACUCAUCUAGCAUAUGUGAGGGCCUGGGUUCAACCCCCAGCACCA